ACAUCACUGAGGAUUGCAAGAC
This 22-nucleotide microRNA is filed under the name Dinoponera quadriceps. Its description in RNAcentral is "dqu-miR-11652-3p". The record is from miRBase by way of RNAcentral. Lineage: Eukaryota; Metazoa; Arthropoda; Insecta; Hymenoptera; Formicidae.